This 69-nucleotide transfer RNA is filed under the name Ictidomys tridecemlineatus (thirteen-lined ground squirrel). Its description in RNAcentral is "Spermophilus tridecemlineatus (thirteen-lined ground squirrel) tRNA". It matches the Rfam family "tRNA". From Rfam's summary of the family: Transfer RNA (tRNA) molecules are approximately 80 nucleotides in length. Their secondary structure includes four short double-helical elements and three loops (D, anti-codon, and T loops). Lineage: Eukaryota; Metazoa; Chordata; Mammalia; Rodentia; Sciuridae. The record is from Rfam by way of RNAcentral.
GGGAUUGUGGCUCAGCGGUAGAGUAUUUGCCUAGCAGGUACAAGGCCCUGAGUUCGAUCCUCAGCACCA